AGCUCCAAUAGCGUAUACUAAAGUUGUUGCAGUUAAAAAGCUCGUAGUUGGAUUUCUGCGAAGGUGGGGCGCCCGCUGUCCUAAGUGUCAGGUUGGGCAGCAACACCUCCGCAUCCUGCCACGAACCACGCUACCAUUAGUUUGGUGGCGUCUUGGGGACUGGCUCGUUUACUUUGAGAAAAUUUGAGUGUUCAAAGCAGGCAAUUGCCUUGAAAAUUGUAGCAUGGAAUGAUGAUUAAGGACUUUUGGUUCUAUUUUGUUGGUGUUCGGGACCGAAGUAAUGAUUGAUAGGGACAGUUGGGGGCGUCUGUAUUCUGAAGCGAGAGGUGAAAUUCUUAGACCUUCGGAAGACAAACAGCUGCGAAAGCGUCGCCAAGGAUGUUCCCUUGAUCAAGAACGAAAGUCUGAGACGCCAAGGCACAC
Molecule: ribosomal RNA, 423 nt
Filed under: uncultured eukaryote
Lineage: Eukaryota
Description: SSU rRNA
Rfam family: Eukaryotic small subunit ribosomal RNA
Source: RNAcentral